UUUAAAUGUAAAAUAAAUAUACUAAAGUAGUAUUAGUUAUGUUCUUGAAAUUUAAAGAUUUUGGCGGUAUUUUAGUCUAUUUAGAGGAGCCUGUUCUGUGAUUGAUAAUCCACGAUUAAUUUUACUUAAUUUAUAUAAAUUUGUAUACCGUCGUUAUAAGAAGAUUUUAAAAGAAUAUAAAUUUUUAAUAUUUUAUAUAAAAAAAUAUAUCAGAUCAAGGUGCAGUUUAUAGUUAAGAAGAAAUGGGCUACAAUAAAUUUAUUUAUAUGGAUUAAAGUAAGAAUUUGACUUUAUGAAAGUGGAUUUAAUAGUAAUAAAAUUAAUUUAAAUUUUAUGAUUUUAGCUCUAAAAUAUG
This 355-nucleotide ribosomal RNA is filed under the name Carabus morawitzi gezei. RNAcentral describes it as "Chaetomelas morawitzi gezei partial 12S ribosomal RNA". Lineage: Eukaryota; Metazoa; Arthropoda; Insecta; Coleoptera; Carabidae. The record is from RNAcentral. RNAcentral also lists the same sequence under 2 other names.